GAUGAAGAACGUAGCGAAAUGCGAUAAGUAAUGUGAAUUGCAGAAUUCAGUGAAUCAUCGAAUCUUUGAACGCACAUUGCGCCCGCCAGCAUUCUCGCGGGCAUGCCUGUUCGAGCGUCAUUUCAACCCUCGACUUCCCUUUGGGGAAGUCGGCGUUGGGGACCGGCCGUAUACCGCCGGCCCCGAAAUGAAGUGGCGGCCCGUCCGCGGCGACCUCUGCGUAGUAAUCCAACUCGCACCGGAACCCCGACGUGGCCACGCCGUAAAACCCCCGACUUCUGAACGUUGACCUCGGAUCAGGUAGGAAUACCCGCUGAACUUAAGCAUAUCAAUAAGCGGAGGA
Molecule: unclassified non-coding RNA, 343 nt
Filed under: soil metagenome
Description: partial contains 5.8S ribosomal RNA, internal transcribed spacer 2, and large subunit ribosomal RNA
Rfam family: 5.8S ribosomal RNA (bases 1-120)
Source: RNAcentral